UCCAAAACUGCUGGAUUCUAACUCUGUCCUCAUUACAGGCUGGUCUCUACUUUUUGUGCUCAGUGCCAAUGCAAAUGUUUGUUACAGGAUUUUCCCUCACUCGCUGCAAGACCACGCUGAUCAUGCUCACUUCCUGUCUAGGUGUUUCUCAGCUGUGAGUCACAGCCCACUGCACAACAACCACCUCUGUGACCAAACAUUGCUACGGAAAACUACUCAGCCUGGAUUUUCCACUCUAUGUCUUAUUACUUAAUGGGCAAAAGUGAAGGAGCAUCCAGUACCAUCAGAAUUCAGGACUGCUGAGAGCUGCCAACUCUGCCAACUUAUAUGGAUAAUACAAGUCAGUAAGGACUCCAUAGGAGCCACAGGAGUUCUUAUUACAAAAAGCCACACCAGCAGCUUCAGCAGGGGCAUUGAUCAGGACACUAAAGAUGGAGAAAUGGGCUGACAGGAACCUCAUGAAGUUCAGCAAGAAGAAGUGCAAAGUCCCGCACCUGGAGAGGAACAAGAAAAUGGAGCCAGACUCUUUUCAGUGCCAGGUCCAGAAGCAAUGGGAACAAACUGCAAUGCAGAAGGUUCCCAUCGAACAUCAGGAAACACUUUUUUCUUGUGAGCGUUGGCACAGAUUGGCCAGGGAGACUGUGGAAUCUCCAUCUUUAGAGUUUCUGUAAUAACAGUCUCCAAGAGCAGCUAGGACACGUGCCAAUCUGGAACUACAGAAAAAUAAUUAAAUAGAAGGCUUUCAGCCCAAGUAAUCUACAUCUAGACAGUUGCA
Long non-coding RNA from Passer domesticus (house sparrow), 775 nucleotides. RefSeq lists it as uncharacterized. Lineage: Eukaryota; Metazoa; Chordata; Aves; Passeriformes; Passeridae. The transcript is spliced from 3 exons. The record is from RefSeq and is a predicted model, not a curated record.